Molecule: transfer RNA, 64 nt
Filed under: Acanthaspis ruficeps
Lineage: Eukaryota; Metazoa; Arthropoda; Insecta; Hemiptera; Reduviidae
Description: tRNA-Pro
Source: RNAcentral
CAGUAAGUAGUUUAAUUAAAAUUUUAAUUUUGGGGAUUAAAGAUGAGUUAUUACUUUUUACUGA